UCACCUGACAUGAUUGAAUUGCAACACUGCAGGAAUGAAAGACUGAUUUAUAAAAGACAUAACUGACAACUUGAGCAUGAAUAUUAAUGAAUGCUGGACAUAUUAUAACUCCAAAGUUAUAAUUAAACCUUUUUCUUGAGAAUUUAAGAAAAAGGAAAAAUAUCUGUUGCUGCAUCAUAUUAAUGAAGAAGGAAGAUUCAGGGGAAUCAACUGCUUCAGGUAGACAGAAGCUGAGGCAAAUGACAGGAUCUCAACCUGCCGUGCAGUGCUAGGACUCAAAUUUCUGGAGCAAAGACCAUCUCCAGGAUCAUAUUCAGCCACUGAGCCACAGCACCUGCAUAUUUUUGGAUAUGACAGAACAUAGAAAAUACUGAAUACAUGAUUGGAAGGGACUGGAUGUUAUAAAAACAAUUCAACUGGAGGAUAGGUUUGCCAU
Pantherophis guttatus is the source of this 436-nucleotide long non-coding RNA. RefSeq lists it as uncharacterized. The record is from RefSeq and is a predicted model, not a curated record. NCBI's taxonomy places the organism in Eukaryota, Metazoa, Chordata, Lepidosauria, Squamata, Colubridae.